RNAcentral lists this ribosomal RNA (274 nucleotides) under uncultured bacterium. Its description in RNAcentral is "partial 16S ribosomal RNA". It matches the Rfam family "Bacterial small subunit ribosomal RNA", at positions 523 to 796 of the family's 1533-position model. The record is from RNAcentral.
AUACGGAGGGUGCGAGCGUUAUCCGGAUUCAUUGGGUUUAAAGGGUGCGUAGGCGGAAGGAUAAGUCAGGGGUGAAAGUUUGCCGCUCAACGGUAAAAUUGCCUUUGAUACUGUUUUUCUUGAGUGAACGCGAGGUAUGCGGAAUGAGUAGUGUAGCGGUGAAAUGCUUAGAUAUUACUCAGAACACCGAUUGCGAAGGCAGCAUACUAGAGUUUAACUGACGCUGAUGCACGAAAGCGUGGGUAGCGAACAGGAUUAGAAACCCCGGUAGUCC